Fukomys damarensis (Damara mole-rat) is the source of this 525-nucleotide long non-coding RNA. RefSeq lists it as uncharacterized. NCBI's taxonomy places the organism in Eukaryota, Metazoa, Chordata, Mammalia, Rodentia, Bathyergidae. The transcript is spliced from 4 exons. The record is from RefSeq and is a predicted model, not a curated record.
AUGAAUGAAACUCCUAGAGUUUCUCUUCUUUAAAAGAGAGGGCAGGGCCUGUUUUAGCCCCAUCUUUGCCUCUGUGCCGUACUUGGAAUGCAGAUGUGAUGCCUGGAGCCCUAGCAGCUGUCUGGAAGCCGUUCACUGGGACAGUGGAGCAGAAAGAGAGGAGCCUGGGUCCCUGAUGACACCGCGGAGUGAGUCUGAUCUACCCUGCUGCCAUGGUGAAAGAGGGAGGGUACCACCAGGAUCAGGACACCUCUCUCCUGCCCCACAAGACAGCAGUCUGACCUCCCCGCUGGUCCCCAAGAAGUGGCAAAGACGGCAGGUUCCCUUUACAGAAAAUGACCAUGGCGACCUGAGAGGCUGGGGCAGCUUGACUUCUCAACCCAGAGGAUGCCUCACCUGGGAGUGAGGUCAUGGCUGAGGCCACCUUCUCACCAUCUCCAGCUGUAAAGAGCCCUCCUGCGGGUAGGAGUUCGCUGAGCAAAUACUUAAGCUGGGCCUUUGGAAGCCGAUCAAACUCCCAUCCAA